Molecule: ribosomal RNA, 726 nt
Filed under: uncultured bacterium
Lineage: Bacteria
Description: bacterial SSU rRNA
Rfam family: Bacterial small subunit ribosomal RNA
Source: RNAcentral
AGUCGAGCGGCAGCGGAAAGUAGCUUGCUACUUUGCCGGCGAGCGGCGGACGUGUGAGUAAUGUCUGGGAAACUGCCUGAUGGAGGGGGAUAACUACUGGAAACGGUAGCUAAUACCGCAUGACCUCGAAAGAGCAAAGUGGGGGAUCUUCGGACCUCACGCCAUCGGAUGUGCCCAGAUGGGAUUAGCUAGUAGGUGAGGUAAUGGCUCACCUAGGCGACGAUCCCUAGCUGGUCUGAGAGGAUGACCAGCCACACUGGAACUGAGACACGGUCCAGACUCCUACGGGAGGCAGCAGUGGGGAAUAUUGCACAAUGGGCGCAAGCCUGAUGCAGCCAUGCCGCGUGUGUGAAGAAGGCCUUAGGGUUGUAAAGCACUUUCAGCGAGGAGGAAGGCAUCAUACUUAAUACGUGUGGUGAUUGACGUUACUCGCAGAAGAAGCACCGGCUAACUCCGUGCCAGCAGCCGCGGUAAUACGGAGGGUGCAAGCGUUAAUCGGAAUUACUGGGCGUAAAGCGCACGCAGGCGGUUUGUUAAGUCAGAUGUGAAAUCCCCGCGCUUAACGUGGGAACUGCAUUUGAAACUGGCAAGCUAGAGUCUUGUAGAGGGGGGUAGAAUUCCAGGUGUAGCGGUGAAAUGCGUAGAGAUCUGGAGGAAUACCGGUGGCGAAGGCGGCCCCCUGGACAAAGACUGACGCUCAGGUGCGAAAGCGUGGGGAGCAAACAG